ACUCACGACCAUACGUUUGCCAGGCAGGCGCUCAUGCCACUGAGCUGUAUCCCCAGCCCCUCCAUGUCCUGUUAAAAGACAGGGUAGGAGGCCAGCUGGACCCUUAGAUCCUUGGCCUCUCAGUGACUCCUUCAUCAUUUGUCUUCGUCCUUCAUCUCAUAUAUUUUAGUUUAUCUCAGACUGUGUCUUUCCAAUAUGGAGCAGCCUGAACCAUCCAAACUGAUGACAGUGCAGACGUUUCUGAUGCAGAGAAAGCAGCCUGGCUUCAGCACAUGACCAGCAUUCUCAUUUCCCACCAGCGAAUGGAUCUUGGCUCCGCAGCUACAUUCUGAUCAGGAUGAAUGACAUGUAUAAUUCAAAAAUCAAGAAAACUGCUCAAGUACAACGGGUGAGGCUUCUGCCAAAGUUGAAAAUUAUUAGGAACUGUGAUUUUGGCUGAGCACACAGCUCUGUUUUGAACUCUUUUAUUUCUGUGUUACUGCUCAUUCACUUAAAGAGAAACAUGAGUCAGAGACAAGAUCUCUUUCCCUUUUCAUGUUUCACCAAUUUAUCUUCCUUGGCAUAAUAAAUUUCGCAAGCCAAAGAGUUGA
This is a long non-coding RNA of Chinchilla lanigera (long-tailed chinchilla), 590 nucleotides long. RefSeq lists it as uncharacterized. Lineage: Eukaryota; Metazoa; Chordata; Mammalia; Rodentia; Chinchillidae. The transcript is spliced from 2 exons. The record is from RefSeq and is a predicted model, not a curated record.